GGCCUAGUCAUUUUUGUGCAUAUGCAAGCUGUCAAAUCAAUCACUUGCAUAGUCACAAAAGUGAUUGGGACA
Molecule: non-coding RNA, 72 nt
Organism: Saccoglossus kowalevskii
Lineage: Eukaryota; Metazoa; Hemichordata; Enteropneusta; Harrimaniidae
Source: Rfam